RNAcentral lists this transfer RNA (77 nucleotides) under mine drainage metagenome. RNAcentral's name for it is "tRNA-Ile". It matches the Rfam family "tRNA". Rfam says of the family: Transfer RNA (tRNA) molecules are approximately 80 nucleotides in length. Their secondary structure includes four short double-helical elements and three loops (D, anti-codon, and T loops). The record is from RNAcentral.
AGCCGCAUAGCUCAACUGGUCAGAGCACCUGCCUUAUAAGCGGGAGGUUGCCGGUUCAAGUCCGGCUGCGGCGACCA